AUCCUCGAUCUGCUGCGGACAGAUGAAGUGGAUAUGGCUGUCGAACCCGCCGGCGGUCAGGAUCUUGCCCUCGCCCGCGAUGGCCUCGGUCCCGGGGCCGACGAUGAUAUCCACGCCCGGCUGCGUGUCUGGGUUCCCGGCCUUGCCGAUCUUCGCGAUACGGCCGUCCUUGAGACCUACGUCGGCCUUGUAGAUACCGGUGUGGUCCACGAUCAGCGCGUUGGUGAUGACGGUAUCCACCGCGCCACCAGCCCGCGUGACCUGGCUCUGGCCCAUCCCGUCGCGGAU
This 288-nucleotide small RNA is filed under the name Rhodovulum sp. ES.010. RNAcentral's name for it is "5' ureB small RNA". It matches the Rfam family "5' ureB small RNA". The record is from Rfam by way of RNAcentral. Lineage: Bacteria; Pseudomonadati; Pseudomonadota; Alphaproteobacteria; Rhodobacterales; Paracoccaceae.